AUACGUAGGGAGCGAGCGUUGUCCGGAAUUACUGGGCGUAAAGGGCGCGUAGGCGGCGCUUCAAGUCGUCUGUCAAAUGGGAGGGCUUAACCCUUUUUCGCAGACGAAACUGGAGAGCUUGAGAAGCGGAGAGGCAAACAGAAUUCCUGGUGUAGCGGUGAAAUGCGUAGAUAUCAGGAAGAAUACCAGUGGCGAAGGCGGUUUGCUGGCUGCAUACUGACGCUGAAGCGCGAAAGCCAGGGGAGCAAACGGGAUUAGAUACCCCGGUAGUCCUGGCAGUAAACGAUGUAUGCUGGGUGUGAGACUAGCGAUAGUUUCGUGCCGAAGUUAACGCGAUAAGCAUACCGCCUGGGGAGUACGGUCGCAAGAUUGAAACUCAAAUGAAUUGGCGGGG
This 394-nucleotide ribosomal RNA is filed under the name uncultured bacterium. Its description in RNAcentral is "partial 16S ribosomal RNA". It matches the Rfam family "Bacterial small subunit ribosomal RNA", at positions 523 to 918 of the family's 1533-position model. The record is from RNAcentral.